RNAcentral lists this transfer RNA (71 nucleotides) under Heptageniidae sp. YW03BF02. Its description in RNAcentral is "tRNA-Val". It matches the Rfam family "tRNA". Rfam says of the family: Transfer RNA (tRNA) molecules are approximately 80 nucleotides in length. Lineage: Eukaryota; Metazoa; Arthropoda; Insecta; Ephemeroptera; Heptageniidae. The record is from RNAcentral.
CAGAGUAGAGCUUGAUUAGUUAAGCAAUUCACUUACACUGAAUAGAAGUCGUGCGAAUCGAUGUAUUCUGA